GUGUCCUGGUUGUUUGCAUCUCCAGCAAAUAGUUUCUGAUCUUGGAGUUUUUCUCUUAUUAUGGUAUAAUGGACGAUGUAAUAUUGUUUCAUCUGGUUGUUGGUAAGUAUCUCUACGUCUCCAUCUAAUCUGUUCUUUAUUGCUUUCGUCACUGUUUUGUCUCAUAGCUUGAAUCUCAGUUGUUAGUUGAUUAAUUCUUGCAGUAAGCUGUUGUAUCUGUUUAUUUUCUCUGUUGUUAUCUGCUGUUUCGGUUUAAUGGGUGAUUUCUUUUCUGGUGUGGUUUCUUUCUUUGGUCCUAGAUUGUGUUCCUUCUCUAUAAUUCGAAAUGUUUUUAACAGUAAGUCAAACUCUUUGACAGAAUCCAUUUUGUAUCUUCCAAUGUUCUUGAUGUCAGGUCUAAGUCCUUCAAAGAAUUUAGAUGUAAGCAUACUGUUCGUAUCCUUUUG
This 446-nucleotide long non-coding RNA is filed under the name Mytilus galloprovincialis (Mediterranean mussel). Lineage: Eukaryota; Metazoa; Mollusca; Bivalvia; Mytilida; Mytilidae. The record is from RNAcentral.